This 481-nucleotide ribosomal RNA is filed under the name uncultured bacterium. RNAcentral describes it as "partial 16S ribosomal RNA". It matches the Rfam family "Bacterial small subunit ribosomal RNA", at positions 30 to 506 of the family's 1533-position model. The record is from RNAcentral.
AUUGAACGCUGGCGGCAUGCUUUACACAUGCAAGUCGAACGGUAACAGGCCGCAAGGUGCUGACGAGUGGCGAACGGGUGAGUAAUGCAUCGGAACGUGCCCAGUCGUGGGGGAUAACUACUCGAAAGAGUAGCUAAUACCGCAUACGAUCUAUGGAUGAAAGCGGGGGACCGUAAGGCCUCGCGCGAUUGGAGCGGCCGAUGUCAGAUUAGGUAGUUGGUGGGGUAAAGGCUCACCAAGCCAACGAUCUGUAGCUGGUCUGAGAGGACGACCAGCCACACUGGGACUGAGACACGGCCCAGACUCCUACGGGAGGCAGCAGUGGGGAAUUUUGGACAAUGGGCGCAAGCCUGAUCCAGCAAGGCCGCGUGCAGGAAGAAGGCCUUCGGGUUGUAAACUGCUUUUGUACGGAACGAAACGGCUCUGGUUAAUACCCGGGGCUAAUGACGGUACCGUAAGAAUAAGCACCGGCGAACUACGU